AGCAGCCGCGGUAAUUCCAGCUCCAAUAGCGUAUAUUAAAGUUGUUGCAGUUAAAAAGCUCGUAGUUGAAUUUCGGGAUCAACACGUCGGUCGUGCCUUCGGUACGCACUAACGUCGUUGGUUCCUCCCUUCUGACGAACCAUGAUGUCAUUAACUUGGUGUUUUGGGGAGUUAGGACUGUUACUUUGAAAAAAUUAGAGUGUUUAAAGCAGGCAAUCGCUUGAAUACAUUAGCAUGGAAUAAUGAAAUAGGACGUUCGAUCCUAUUUCGUUGGUUUCUAGGAUCAACGUAAUGAUUAAUAGGGAUAGUUGGGGGCAUUAGUAUUCAAUUGUCAGAGGUGAAAUUCUUGGAUUUAUUGAAGACUAACUACUGCGAAAGCAUUUGCCAAGGAUGUUUUCAUUAAUCAAGAACGAAAGUUAGGGGAUCGAAGACGAUCAGAUACCGUCGUAGUCUUAACCAUAAACUAUGCCAACUAGGGAUCGGAUGAUGUUAAUUUUUUAAUGACUCAUUCGGCGCCUUACG
RNAcentral lists this ribosomal RNA (522 nucleotides) under uncultured Glomus. RNAcentral describes it as "SSU rRNA". It matches the Rfam family "Eukaryotic small subunit ribosomal RNA", at positions 569 to 1092 of the family's 1831-position model. The record is from RNAcentral. Lineage: Eukaryota; Fungi; Glomeromycota; Glomeromycetes; Glomerales; Glomeraceae.